RNAcentral lists this ribosomal RNA (1529 nucleotides) under Salmonella enterica subsp. enterica serovar Bareilly. Its description in RNAcentral is "partial 23S ribosomal RNA". It matches the Rfam family "Bacterial large subunit ribosomal RNA", at positions 583 to 2096 of the family's 2925-position model. Lineage: Bacteria; Pseudomonadati; Pseudomonadota; Gammaproteobacteria; Enterobacterales; Enterobacteriaceae. The record is from RNAcentral.
CUUUUGGGUGUGACUGCGUACCUUUUGUAUAAUGGGUCAGCGACUUAUAUUCUGUAGCAAGGUUAACCGAAUAGGGGAGCCGGAGGGAAACCGAGUCUUAAUUGGGCGUUAAGUUGCAGGGUAUAGACCCGAAACCCGGUGAUCUAGCCAUGGGCAGGUUGAAGGUUGGGUAACACUAACUGGAGGACCGAACCGACUAAUGUUGAAAAAUUAGCGGAUGACCUGUGGCUGGGGGUGAAAGGCCAAUCAAACCGGGAGAUAGCUGGUUCUCCCCGAAAGCUAUUUAGGUAGCGCCUCGUGAAUUCAUCUCCGGGGGUAGAGCACUGUUUCGGCUAGGGGGCCAUCCCGGCUUACCAACCCGAUGCAAACUGCGAAUACCGGAGAAUGUUAUCACGGGAGACACACGGCGGGUGCUAACGUCCGUCGUGAAGAGGGAAACAACCCAGACCGCCAGCUAAGGUCCCAAAGUCAUGGUUAAGUGGGAAACGAUGUGGGAAGGCCCAGACAGCCAGGAUGUUGGCUUAGAAGCAGCCAUCAUUUAAAGAAAGCGUAAUAGCUCACUGGUCGAGUCGGCCUGCGCGGAAGAUGUAACGGGGCUAAACCAUGCACCGAAGCUGCGGCAGCGACACUCAGGUGUUGUUGGGUAGGGGAGCGUUCUGUAAGCCUGUGAAGGUGUGUCGUGAGGCAUGCUGGAGGUAUCAGAAGUGCGAAUGCUGACAUAAGUAACGAUAAAGCGGGUGAAAAGCCCGCUCGCCGGAAGACCAAGGGUUCCUGUCCAACGUUAAUCGGGGCAGGGUGAGUCGACCCCUAAGGCGAGGCCGAAAGGCGUAGUCGAUGGGAAACGGGUUAAUAUUCCCGUACUUGGUGUUACUGCGAAGGGGGGACGGAGAAGGCUAUGUUGGCCGGGCGACGGUUGUCCCGGUUUAAGCGUGUAGGUGUGUGUUCCAGGUAAAUCCGGUCCACUUUAACACUGAGGCGUGAUGACGAGGCACUACGGUGCUGAAGCAACAAAUGCCCUGCUUCCAGGAAAAGCCUCUAAGCAUCAGGUAACAUCAAAUCGUACCCCAAACCGACACAGGUGGUCAGGUAGAGAAUACCAAGGCGCUUGAGAGAACUCGGGUGAAGGAACUAGGCAAAAUGGUGCCGUAACUUCGGGAGAAGGCACGCUGACACGUAGGUGAAGUGAUUUACUCAUGGAGCUGAAGUCAGUCGAAGAUACCAGCUGGCUGCAACUGUUUAUUAAAAACACAGCACUGUGCAAACACGAAAGUGGACGUAUACGGUGUGACGCCUGCCCGGUGCCGGAAGGUUAAUUGAUGGGGUCAGCGCAAGCGAAGCUCCUGAUCGAAGCCCCGGUAAACGGCGGCCGUAACUAUAACGGUCCUAAGGUAGCGAAAUUCCUUGUCGGGUAAGUUCCGACCUGCACGAAUGGCGUAAUGAUGGCCAGGCUGUCUCCACCCGAGACUCAGUGAAAUUGAACUCGCUGUGAAGAUGCAGUGUACCCGCGGCAAGACGGAAAGACCCCGUGA